AGCCCUGUAGAAUAGCUGGUCAAGUUCGCAGCCCUCUGGCGGCUGAGACCUCGGUUCAAAUCCGAGCAGGGCUA
This 74-nucleotide transfer RNA is filed under the name Candidatus Pacearchaeota archaeon. RNAcentral describes it as "tRNA-Gln". It matches the Rfam family "tRNA". Rfam says of the family: Transfer RNA (tRNA) molecules are approximately 80 nucleotides in length. Their secondary structure includes four short double-helical elements and three loops (D, anti-codon, and T loops). Further hydrogen bonds mediate the characteristic L-shaped molecular structure. tRNAs have two regions of fundamental functional importance: the anti-codon, which is responsible for specific mRNA codon recognition, and the 3' end, to which the tRNAs corresponding amino acid is attached (by aminoacyl-tRNA synthetases). tRNAs cope with the degeneracy of the genetic code in two manners: having more than one tRNA (with a specific anti-codon) for a particular amino acid; and 'wobble' base-pairing, i.e. permitting non-standard base-pairing at the 3rd anti-codon position. Lineage: Archaea; Nanobdellati. The record is from RNAcentral.